Molecule: non-coding RNA, 30 nt
Filed under: Mus musculus (house mouse)
Lineage: Eukaryota; Metazoa; Chordata; Mammalia; Rodentia; Muridae
Source: RNAcentral
UCCCAUUUGAAUCCCAACGGGCAGUCUGGC